AAGAGAGACAUGCGCGCAUAUCAAUAAGCGGAGGAAAAGAAACUAACUAAGGAUUCCCUCAGUAACGGCGAGUGAAGCGGGAAGAGCUCAAAUUUGAAAUCUUCAAGGUUCUACCUUGACGAAUUGUAGUUUAAAGAAGUGUUUUCUGUUAGUGGAGUUUGGUAAAAGUUCUUUGGAAUAGGACAUCAUAGGAGGGUGAGAAUCCCGUAUUUGGAUCAUUAUUUCUAGCUUUGUGAUACACUUUCAAAGAGUCGGAUUGUUUGGGAAUGCAGUCCAAAAUGGGUGGUAAAUUUCAUCUAAAGCUAAAUAUUGGCGAGAGACCGAUAGCGAACAAGUACCGUGAGGGAAAGAUGAAAAGAACUUUGAAAAGAGAGUUAAACAGUACGUGAAAUUGUCAAAAGGGAAGCGUUUGACACCAGUGUUGUUUCGUCGAAAAUCAAUUAAAAUAGUCUGGAUUUUAAGUUAGUAUUGACCUUAUCAGCUUGCUGCACUCUUUUCUUGUCUUUUUUAAUGCACUUUUCGUUUAACAAGUCAACAUCAAUUUCUUUUGUUGUAAAAGGGUCAUUGGAAGGUGGCUUUCUUUUCGGAGAAAGUGUUUAUAGCCUUUGGCCUCUGCAAUCGGAGAGAUUGAGGUCUGCAGCGUAGAUCCUUCGGGGUUAGAUACAUUUGUGCUAAGCUAUAGCCUUUCAUAGACAACUUGUUGACUAUGAUCAGUCAUGUAGCUUACUCGCUUAUGCUAUUUUACCUACGCUUAGGAUGUUGACAGCAGUAUAGACUGU
This 779-nucleotide ribosomal RNA is filed under the name uncultured Neocallimastigales. RNAcentral's name for it is "partial large subunit ribosomal RNA". It matches the Rfam family "Eukaryotic large subunit ribosomal RNA", at positions 23 to 636 of the family's 3401-position model. The record is from RNAcentral. Lineage: Eukaryota; Fungi; Neocallimastigomycota; Neocallimastigomycetes; Neocallimastigales.